Molecule: ribosomal RNA, 253 nt
Filed under: uncultured bacterium
Lineage: Bacteria
Description: partial 16S ribosomal RNA
Rfam family: Bacterial small subunit ribosomal RNA
Source: RNAcentral
UACAGAGGGGGCAAGCGUUGUUCGGAAUUACUGGGCGUAAAGGGCGCGUAGGCGGCCUGUUAAGUCGAACGUGAAAUCCCCGGGCUCAACCCGGGAACUGCGUCCGACACUGGCAGGCUUGAAUCCGGGAGAGGGAUGCGGAAUUCCAGGUGUAGCGGUGAAAUGCGUAGAUAUCUGGAGGAACACCGGUGGCGAAGGCGGCUCACUGGCCCGAUACUGACGCUGAGGCACGAAAGCGUGGGGAGCAAACAGG